UACGUAGGGCGCAAGCGUUGUCCGGAAUUACUGGGCGUAAAGAGCUCGUAGGUGGUUUGUCGCGUUGUUCGUGAAAUCUCACGGCUUAACUGUGAGCGUGCGGGCGAUACGGGCAGACUAGAGUACUGCAGGGGAGACUGGAAUUCCUGGUGUAGCGGUGGAAUGCGCAGAUAUCAGGAGGAACACCGGUGGCGAAGGCGGGUCUCUGGGCAGUAACUGACGCUGAGGAGCGAAAGCGUGGGGAGCGAACAGG
RNAcentral lists this ribosomal RNA (253 nucleotides) under uncultured bacterium. RNAcentral describes it as "partial 16S ribosomal RNA". It matches the Rfam family "Bacterial small subunit ribosomal RNA", at positions 524 to 776 of the family's 1533-position model. The record is from RNAcentral.